CCAACCUACGGGGGGCAGCAGUAGGGAAUCUUCCACAAUGGGCGAAAGCCUGAUGGAGCAACGCCGCGUGGGUGAAGAAGGUCCUCGGAUCGUAAAACUCUGUUGUUGGAGAAGAAAGUGCGUGAGAGUAACUGUUCACGUUUCGACGGUAUCUAACCAGAACGCCACGGCUAACUACGUGCCAGCAGCCGCGGUAAUACGUAGGUGGCAAGCGUUAUCCGGUUUUAUUGGGCGUAAAGGGAACGCAGGCGGUCUUUUAAGU
This 262-nucleotide ribosomal RNA is filed under the name uncultured bacterium. RNAcentral describes it as "partial 16S ribosomal RNA". It matches the Rfam family "Bacterial small subunit ribosomal RNA", at positions 332 to 588 of the family's 1533-position model. The record is from RNAcentral.